UUGCAAGUCUUCCGAUAAGCUUUUUUUUAUGAUUAGGAAUCCAAUUCAGUACCCUAAAUUUACAACAUUCACACACCCUGCGCACCAACUACUUGCACUAGACUCCAGCGGUGUUGAUUAGAUUUAAUCGAUUUUGCAUAGAAUGUAUGAUAUUUAAUACAUGUUCUUGUGAUGCUGCAGAUAAUGAUUCCCUUUAACUACACAGAAUUCAUAGAUGGCUUGACUUUACUAGUGAAAAGCAAUGCCAUACCUAUGAGUAGAAUUGAUGAUGCAGUGAAGAGAAUUUUGAGAGUCAAGUUUGUUAUGGGACUAUUUGAAAAUCCAUUGGCAGAUUACAGCCUUACCGAUCAACUCGGGAGCCAGGUUAGUCGAUGAGCUUCGAUUUAAAUAUGAUUUUAGUCCGAAAAACUUAUACCAUAAAUCCAUAAUGAGAAACUAAAUUGGCGACAUAAUUUGACAGGAGCAUAGGGAAUUGGCUAGGGAAGCUGUGAGGAAAUCAUUGGUACUAUUAAAGAAUGGUGAAAAUGCUGAUAAGCCGCUUCUUCCUCUUCCUAAAAAGGCUCCAAAAAUACUCGUUGCUGGAAGUCAUGCUGAUAAUCUAGGAUAUCAAUGUGGUGGAUGGACCAUUCAGUGGCAAGGACUUAGUGGCAACAACAUCACUAGUGGUAUACUAUAACAUCCUUCACUUUUCUCCCACUAUUGUUUGAUACUAUCUUGCACCAAAAAUACAAGCAACAAUUGCACUCAUAUCCAUUUUAGAUUGAAGGCGUGUCUGAUGUCAAAUAUGUCACUGUCUGACACUGACCGACACAUAUUGUUACAUUCAAUCAUUUUAAUUUUCUAUAGUCAGUGUCGUGUCCAGUGUCCUUGUUUGUGCUUCAGCGAAUGCAAUAUAUUCCUAACAUAUAUUUUUAACAUCGUUGAACUGAUACAGGUACCACAAUUCUGAGUGCUAUAAAAAACACAGUUGACAAAGAAACCAAGGUAGUCUAUGAGGAGAAUCCUUCACUAGACUACGUAAAAUCCAAUGAUUUUUCGUAUGCAGUCGUGGUAGUUGGAGAGACACCAUACGCUGAAACAAAUGGCGACAGCUUGAACUUAACAAUUUCCGGUAACGGAACAGAAACAAUAAACAAUGUAUGCGGCAGAGUGAAAUGUGUCGUUGUGUUAGUCACUGGUAGACCUGUUGCCAUACAACCAUAUCUUAACAAAAUUGACGGACUCGUUGCUGCUUGGCUUCCUGGUAGUGAAGGUACUGGUGUUGCUGAUGUUUUGUUUGGUGAUUAUGGAUUUACUGGUAAGCUUGCUAGGACAUGGUUUAAGACUGUUGAUCAGUUGCCAAUGAAUGUUGGUGAUUCUCAUUAUGAUCCUUUGUUUCCAUUUGGAUUCGGUUUAAGCUCAUAAGGUUAUGGUGUUAAAUAAUGUAGCAUUUUUGGUGUGCUCUUAGGCUAUUUAUUACUAUUGUAUUUUUUUUACAUUAGAUGUUGGUACCACAUUGGUAUUGUGAUAUACUAUGUUUGAAAUAUUUUUCAGCUUCAAUUGUUAAACUUAUUGAGUUCCAAUCAAGUUUAUAUGUUUGUUCUUUAGACAAAUGUUAGUGGUUAAUGUAACAAAAAAAAUGUUAGUGGUUAAAUUGUUAGGGUGAAGAGAAAGAAAAUUACUCUUCUCACUUAUGGAAUGGCUCAUUCCCUUAUACCAACGGCAGUUAACUGUCGUUCGAUAUAUUUCAGCGGCCAGUAACUGUCGCUGGCAUUUUUAAGAUCCGUUGGACGGACUUAAAAAGUGAUUGAACAUAUCUUAAAAGUGUCUGCAACAGUGAAGAUUGAACUCUAACCUUCUUAUUUUGUGUUAACCUUCUUUGAAAGUCUAUAUUUGUUUUUAAAAAUAUAAUUCCAAAAGAUAUUACAGUUUUUGUUUUAAGAAUUAAAUCUUAGGAGACAAGUAUGAGUUGUGAUGCUUAGAUUGUGAUCUUAAUGGAUUUGGCAAGACCUAUAAGACAACGAACCGUUGGAGGAGAGAUGGUGAUAUGAGACAGUAAAAUAGAUUCUAGUGACAAUAGAUAAAAUUUAAGUCUCAAGUGUAGGGAUUCUAAUUCUCGUGCCACAAUCUCGUGUGUGUUCGUGCCAUGGCCACAUGGACCCAUAGUGUGAGAAGCCAUGUGGAACAUAUGUGUGGUUGGGCAUAUGAUUUGGUCUUAGGAGGGACAAAUGCUGAUAAAAUUCAACAUAUUAAGACCAUGCUAUAUAAGAAAUUCAACAUCAAAGACCUAGGAGAGUUCUCAAAUAUUUUUUAGGCUUUAAAGUUGCAAGAUCACAUACUGUUAUUACUUUGUGUCAAAGAAAAUAUACUCUUGAUUUACUUCAAGACACUAGGCUUCUAAGCACUAAACCUUGUUCUACUCUUAUGCAACCAUAACUUCAAUUACAAAAAGCUUCUAGAGAACUUCUAUCUGAACCAACUGCAUACAGAAGACUCAUUGGUAUACUUCUAUACUUAACUUACUCCCGACCAGAGAUUUCUUAGGUCGUAAGCAAACUUAUUCAAUUUUUAGAAGCUCCGACAAAUGAGCAUAUGUUAGAUGGUAUAUAUGUUUUCAAAUUUCUCAAGAAUAAUCCUGGUCAAGGGUUAUUUUUCAGUUCAUUCUCGCCAUUAACACUUAAAUGAUUCUUUGAUUCAAAUUGGGGGCAUGUCCAAAUAACAGAAGAUCAACAACUGGAUUUUGCUUUUUCCUUGGCACAUCUAUCACAAGUUGAGUAUAGAGCUUUGUUACAAGCUACAUGUGAAGGACAGUGGUUGAUUUACUUACUGCAGGAUUUACUUAUAGCACAUACCACACCUAUCAUUCUAUAUUGUGAUAACAAAUUUUCACUAUAUAUUAUAUAGAAGCAAAUCAUGUGAACCAUGAAAGAACUAAACACAUUGAAAUUGACUGUCAUGUAAUAAGGGACAAAGUGCAGGUAGGAGUAAUUCACUUGCUACCAAUAUCCUCAAAAGACCAAGUUGCUGAUAUUUUGACAAAGUCUUUUGCAUCUAGAUCCAUUCAAUAUCUUGCAGGACAAGCUUGGAACAAUUAACAUUUAUUCCGUCUUGAGGAGGGAUGUUAAAUUCGGACGAGAAAUAUGUAAAGUGGUCAAGAUUUGUUCCACAAAUCAAACUCUGAUUCUCCCAAACGAUUCAUGUACUUUUGUGGAGUUCAUUCACCAUUGUCAUUGUGCCUAGUCACUUGGACAAAUUCCAAUAUUAUCUAUUUGAUUUGAAACUUAUCUCUUAAAAGAAACGUAAUCAUCACUACAAUUGAAUAUAUAUAUUUUAAAACUAUCCAUACUAGAUUUGAUCAUUAAAUUUGACCAAUUAUAAACAAAACCAAAAUUAAAAGUAACGUUGUUAUUGUUAAUUGUUUAAUUAAGAUAAGGAUGGAACAUAAACGUCGCGUCUUCAAACCAUAACAGCCUGCAUGAUUGACUAUUUUUUUUUUGUCUAUUUAUAUGUAACAAUCUUACAACUACUUUACAAAUAUUCACAUUCUUCAACUUCCAAACUUUGCCUUUUUAUUAUUCUUUGAAAAGUACACAUUUUGUCUCUCCUUUCUUGUGUAACAUUGAAGUGCCACAUAAAAGUUUGUUAGCCAUAAAACUUGUAAAUUGGUAUGCAAUUUUUUUUGUUAUAUUUUAUACUUGUAAAUUUUCAAUUUAAUAUACUGACAAAAAAAAAAUUCAAUUCAAUAUUUAUUUCUGUUGUUGAUUGUUGAAAUGAAUCAGCAGUAGUCAGCUUCAUGGUACUACAAACCGUUAGAUUAAUAAAAUUUGCAUCUAACGGCCUGCAUCCGUCCGACUUUAUAGGAAAGACGGAUAUACAAUAAAGCCGACCGUUGAGGAUCAAAUUUUUUGUUUAUUGGUUGCAAAUAAACUUCAUGACUAAAAUUGAAAUGGGUCUAACUAUUUUAUGAAUGGUUUUGUAUUCAUUAAUGGUAUGAUAAGGAUGCUUGAUUUGUUAUUGAACAUGCAUGUUUAUCUCUAGAACAUUGUUGUGAUCUUAUUUUGAAGUUGUUUUGAGAGGUAGAAAUGGCCAAAAGUACAAUGUUUUUGGUGGGGCUUGUGCUCUUGCACUACUUGGUAGCUAUGGCAGAAGCUAAGCAUUUGAGAUACAAAGAUUCAAAGCAGCCAUUGAAUACUCGAAUCAAGGAUCUUCUCGACAGGAUGACUUUGGAAGAGAAAAUUGGUCAGAUGGUUCAGAUUGAACGCAAUGUUGCUUCUGCUGAAGUAAUGAACAACUACUUCAUUGGUAAGAUUUGUUUCCUAAAUUUUUUUCCUCUUAAACUAGAUUUUCAAAAAUAAUUGUUAGUGCAUAUUUUAGCUGUGAAAUGCACAUAAGGAAAUUCACCUAAGUUUUUGCUUUUUAUCUCCAUGCAUGCAAUGUAAUUUAAAUUGAGGAUGCAUAUGGAUUCGUUGCAGUUUCAUUUUGUAAUCCAUAUCGGCCAUUGAUUUGAGAUCAGACAGUUUAAAUUACACAUUUAGUAUAUCAGUAUUAAACGAUUCUGACCAUCGAUUUAGGUCAGAUGGCUAAGUAACUGCAUGAUUUAAGAUGCCAAAUAGUUUGUAUUAGGAUUUUUUUUUAAUUUUUAACUUUAAUUUUCUAUAGGGAGUGUUCUAAGUGGUGGAGGAAGUGUUCCUAAACCAAAGGCUACUGCAAAGGAUUGGGUUGAUAUGAUCAAUGAAUUUCAAAAGGGUGCUUUAUCAACUAGGCUUGGAAUUCCAAUGAUAUAUGGAAUUGAUGCUGUUCAUGGAAAUAAUAAUGUCUAUAACGCAACUAUUUUUCCUCACAAUGUUGGUUUAGGAGCUACAAGGUAUACUUAUAUUUUUUUUGUGUGAAAACUUUGGUUUUCAAUUCUUUGAUUAUUGAUGAUUUCUUGUAUUCAAAUUCAAAGGUCUUCUCUUGUGUGUUAAAUAUUAUAAAAAAUAUAGUAUGAUUUUAUCAACUAGUUAUGGAAAAGAAAGAAAAAAAAAUACAUGCAACCAAUACUUUGUCAAAAACGUGCUUUCAUGUUGGCUAUGGAAGGUACGCAAUCCAAAUAAAAAAUUACAUGUGGUUGAGAGACCUAUAAUAUAAUGCAAGAUCUUACCCUUAUGAUUUUUAGUGAUGUUAUCAAAUAUAUAUAUAUAUAUAUAUAUAUAUAUAUAUAUAUAUAUAUAUAUAUAUAUAUUUUGGUACAAACAAAUAUAUUUAAUUUACUAAAGUAUUCAUAUUUUAAUUGUUUUAGGUAAAUGGACAGGACAUUUUGGGUUUGGAUUAAUGUUGUAAAAUUUACUUUGAUUGUCUUUUACUCUAUGUUCUUUUUCCUAUGAUAUUAGACUUUAUUGUAAACGAGCAAGCAGUCUUUUAGGUAUGAAUGUGUGAGGCGUUGUCAUUAUAGUUAAAUGUAUAAUAAUAAUAAUAUCCUUAAGUGUGUCUUUUGUUAAUAAUUUUGAAGAUCACAUCGACUAACAAAGGACACAUUCGAGAAUCAAAUUAACUAACAAAAUAUAAAUUUGAGGAUCAAACUGACUAAUGACAUGUUGAUCGAAUGAAAGUUAAUUACACAAAGAAAAAGCUUUUUUCACUAUAACUCUUUGUAUUGAUGAUAGAUUUUCUAUAUCCUAACUUGCAGGGACCCUCAACUAGUGAAGAAGAUUGGUGAAGCAACUGCUCUUGAAUCCAGAGCAACUGGAAUUCCAUAUGUCUUUGCGCCUUGCAUUGCGGUAAUUAAGAUAAUCGAAAUACCUAACCUAUUUGUCAAUCACAGAAAAUAACAAUUUGUUCAAAUUUCGCUACGCUACAAUAUACUAUGUGACAACACUUUGUAUUAAAUAGUGUGUGGCACAACAAUAGCAAUUUGUUCAAAUUUCGCUACUAUGGACCACAAUGUUGCGCCGCUUUUGCCAAUAUUUGACAAUAUCAUUCAACCUUAUGACAUAUGUGUUUGAAUUUAAAGGUGUGUAGAGAUCCAAGAUGGGGUAGAUGUUAUGAAAGUUAUAGUGAAGAUCAUAAAGUAGUUCAAGCUAUGACUGAGAUCAUUCCAGGACUUCAAGGUGACCUCCCUGCAAAUUGGUCAAAUGGUGUUCCAUAUGUUGCUGGAAAGUAAGAAUUCACGAUGCUGUUGCAGUUUUAUAUAUGCAUGUCUUCUGUCUAAUUACAUAUGAGAAUCGACUGUGACCGGAAAAUUGAAUUGAACCAAUUUAGUUCUUUUUUGUGUGAUUUGGUUUGCGUUUUGGUUUUUUCAAACAGUCAUAAUAAUUGGUAUUUAAUCAACAGUAUUAAUUAUCCGUUAAUAAUAACAAUUUGAUACAGUUUGGUUCGAAAAAGUAUAGUUUGAUUUGUUGUAAAGGUAGUUCUGGUUCGGUUUGAAACCACGUUGUAGGUGGCCCAAACCUUUUUACCAAAUCGAUUCAGGACACCCCUAAUCUGAGGAGUGUCCGUGCUUCGUAGUUUUAUUCAUAUCUUGAACUUAAAAUGAUGUUUUGGCUUUCCUAUGACAUGAAUAAUGAUAAAAUUCGUCUAAGUGUUGGUGUUUGAUUUUGUUCUCAUUUUCUUGUACAGCAAGAAAGUUGCAGCUUGUGCUAAGCACUUUGUCGGUGAUGGUGGAACAACAAAAGGAAUCAAUGAGGAUAACACAGUUGCAAACAGACAUGAAUUGUUUAGCAUUCACAUGCCAGCUUACUAUAACUCAAUCAUUAAGGGUGUCUUAACCGUCAUGGUCUCAUACUCAAGCUGGAAUGGAGAAAAGAUGCAUGCUAAUCGCGAUUUAAUCACCGGCUUUCUUAAGAACACGCUCCGUUUCAAGGUAAUAUUUUACCUCAUAACAUAAGCCUUUGAUUGCAUCAAGAGUUUAAUUUGUAUGCACUAUAUGUAUAAAAAACGUGACAAUAAAUUAUAGGAUGACGGUGUAAAAUAGGUGGCAAUAUAUUAUUGCAUAAAUAAUUGUAUAUUAACUUAACCCUAAAAUUGUUUGUUUAUCAAUCAUCAUAUUAGUAUAUGCUUAAAAUUGGAUGUUUUAAUGCAGGGUUUUGUCAUAUCAGAUUGGGAGGGAAUCGACAGGAUAACUUCACCUCCUCAUGCUAACUACACAUUUUCAAUUGAAGCCGGAGUGAAUGCCGGUAUUGACAUGGUAAACUAUGUUUUUUACUAGUCUUUUGAAUAGCUGUAUAUUUUUUAUUAUUAUUAGGAAUUGAACUCGGAAUUUUAAGGUUUACAAUACUUGCACAUUCUGUGAACCAACCACUUGCACCGAAUCCCGGUGGUGUUGAUUAGUCUUAUUCAUAAAAAAUAUAAUCUUUAAUAUUUACCCUUGUAAUGAUGCAGAUAAUGAUUCCCCAUAACUACACUGAAUUCAUUGAUGGCCUAACCUUACUAGUGAAAAAGAAUGUCAUACCUAUGAGUAGAAUUGAUGAUGCAGUGAAGAGAAUUUUGAGAGUCAAGUUUGUUAUGGGCCUAUUUGAAAAUCCAUUGGCUGAUUACAGCCUUGCCGAUCAGCUCGGGAGCCAGGUUAGUCGAUCAGCUCAGAGCUUACACUGUCAAUCAAUAGUAAUCGUAAGAUCGUUUAAAAUGUUUGGUGUUGACAGGAGC
Molecule: long non-coding RNA, 7599 nt
Filed under: Medicago truncatula (barrel medic)
Lineage: Eukaryota; Viridiplantae; Streptophyta; Magnoliopsida; Fabales; Fabaceae
Description: long non-coding RNA (MTRU_LNC003968)
Source: RNAcentral